Macaca mulatta (Rhesus monkey) is the source of this 298-nucleotide non-coding RNA. The record is from RefSeq and is a predicted model, not a curated record. NCBI's taxonomy places the organism in Eukaryota, Metazoa, Chordata, Mammalia, Primates, Cercopithecidae.
CAGCCUCCCAGGUAGCUGGGACUACAGGCAUGCACCACCACACCCAGUUUCCUGUAUUGGCUGUGCUCGAAUAUCCACGUGCAGGCUUUGUGUGAACAUGAGCUUAUCUCUCUGGGUAAAAUCACCAGGCUGUGUGGUAGUUGCAGCCCCUCAUCCAUUUGUAUAUUUGUUAGAAGAGAUUGAAUAAAUUGAUGUUACUUAGAAUUCACUAAUGAAGACAUCUAGACCUGGAGAUUUCUUUUUCAGAAGAUUUCAUUGAAAAAAAAAUCCAUUUUUUAAAUAAAUACAGGACUAUUCA